CACUCUGGUGGUUCUAUUGGUUAAAGUGUCCGCCUAUAAUGUGGGAGGUCGUGGGUUCAAACCCCGGUCAAGUCA
Non-coding RNA from Potamilus streckersoni, 75 nucleotides. Lineage: Eukaryota; Metazoa; Mollusca; Bivalvia; Unionida; Unionidae. The record is from the annotation of a GenBank genome assembly.